Xyrichtys novacula (pearly razorfish) is the source of this 5850-nucleotide non-coding RNA. The record is from the annotation of a GenBank genome assembly. NCBI's taxonomy places the organism in Eukaryota, Metazoa, Chordata, Actinopteri, Labriformes, Labridae.
UCUUGUCAUUGGGGACAGUACCAGCAGGGGAUCAGGCUUAGUGCCUUUCUCAUCUCAAGUUCCUUAUUUAGUCUCACCUGAAAGAGUUCAUUCUUGUAUCUCUCUCCCUAUGACAAGGUUGGCCUUUCUUAGUCUGUAAGGCUCAGACAGAAAAAAAAAAAAAAAAACAUGCAUCAGAUAAGCAGCAGAGCUCUGGAGAUUUCACUGACCUUUACAGGAGCAAUGGGGGAAGCAAGGUCUCUGUCUUGAACUUCAAACGCAUCACUUUGGGCUCCUAAAGAUUCCUGAGAAGAUAGAGAUUUGUUGUCAGCAGACCUGGUUUACCAAAAUGAGCUUCACAUGCUAACACUUCACCAUAAAAUAAUCUAUCCUUUCAUGCAGAUAUGACGCCAGGAGGGUUAUGCUUUUGUGAAAUAAAAAAUACUGUUUUUCAAAACAGAAAAAGAACAACCUUAUCAAGUGUAAGGUCUAUUCAACUGCUAAAAUCCUUCCACAACAACUAAAAAUCAAUAUCUAUCUAACCCAAAGCAGUAGUUCCAAAUGUGUGUCAAAAGACUUCUAAAUUAGCUUUAAAAGGGCAACAAUUCCUCAUAAAACAGCUGCGGGGGCUGCAGUCUGCUGUACUCUGCUGUUUGAAAACCUCGACCUUUAUCAGCGAGCAAACUUGUGAGGUAAUUGAGUUAGUCUUGUUUGUAGCUACACACGAUUAGGUUUGAUUGUCUACUUUGGAGCUAUAAUAGCCAAAGAAUAACGAGGAGCAUAAUAAAUUGCCUGCUCUCAGGGAUUUCUAGUUAGAGAGGUAUUAUUAUAAUGGGUGAAGUUGAGCUCUUGGGGAAUCUGCAUUGCUUCAUAUGAGGCAACUUUUGCUGAAGAAGCUGAGCUUAAAGACAAGAUUAUCCCGUGGCUUUUAAUGCCGGGGCUGCUGCUGUAAGCACAAAAGACAGAAAUUUUACUGCACUGCAGAAAAAAAUCCAAAGAGUUUUUAUAAGUGAGGAAAAACAGAUCUUAAUAUUAGUACAAAGCUUUGAAAUUUUGUGUUAUUGAAUGUCUUUUCCUCAGCCUUCGCCGCUGCUGCAAAACCCUAAACGGUCCAGUGAGAAACAGAAACAAGCUGCAAAACCAAGGAUGUGUCUCUGCCAAGACAAUUACCUAUUACCUCCCCCUACAGUAAAAAUAUCACAAGGCAAUAACUCCCCCACCCCCUUAAAAAAAACAACUAAUGGUACAAAAUAAGACAAAGCUUGCUGGAUAAAGUCCCAAAUGGAUUUGUGAGGCUCAGGAUCCUGUUACGGGAACUUAACAGAGGAAAACAGACUCAUAAAUCUACAGACUCAUCAACAGGAAGCAUCAUUCACGGGCAAGCUAAUCCAAUUUCCUUUUGUGCUGAAUGUUUUGUGAGUCACCAAAGUUAUAAGUGGACACCAUUUACUCUGGGUGAAGACAAAGAAACAAAGAGCAGUACUUCGAAGACAGGAGGAGUCAUCAGAAGUUGAGCUUUGAACUUUUUUUCUUGAAUACAUUUCCAGGCCCUUCAAUCCACGCUCACAGACACAAAGAGCCAAAAGUACUUCUAAAAGAAGAAACAUUUUAUUUUGAAUGUCCAUUUGCGUGUUUUUGUUAGUGCAGAUUAUCAAAUGAAUUGCAAAACCUCUUCAGACUUCAGAAGUUCAGAAGUUGAGGUUCGAGAGGUUCUCUAACUUGAGCAGGUGCAUCAAAGCUUUAUUUGGCUGUUUCUCAUCUAUAAUAGAAUUCAGUGUUUUUUAAGGCACUGUGAGAAGGUUUUAACUUCAUUUGAAAAAGUUUGAUUUUUCUACUCAUAGUUCUACAUGAUUUCUGUUGUAAAACCAGGAAAAGUACCAAAACAGGAAAACUCCUUACAGUGCCUUUAACGGUUUUAUUUUUCUUUAUCUUUUUGAUUGCUUUUCAAAAGAGUGAAUUCAUGUGAUAAUGAGUAUUAUGUCUGUGUUUAAAAAUAGCAGGUGUUUAUACAAAAUUCACCCAUAUUAAAAACUAAAAACUUCACUUUUUCUUAAAUUUAGAGCAUUAUAGUUCAAGUUUUGAAAGUCUACCUUGAGACUUCUACAAAGCUGAAGUCAUGAUAUAGAAGGAGACUCCUCUGAAACUGAAGCUAAAAGACUCAGAGCUAUUCUUCAUGAUUGGAUUAAGUAUGGAUAAUAAAGCUGUCCUUUUACUUUGUUACCCAAUGGGACAUACUGUAGGUCAAAAUCAAACACAAAUCAAAUCAGUAUUUCUCAGUCAUGGUUUCUGCUAUAAUAGCUAGCUCCUAAUAUUGGCUUUCGUGUCCACCGUUGCGUGUUACGGGUUCAUUAACUAGCAGAAGCUCCACCAGGUAAUCUCUACUGACUCGGACUCCAAAUGACAUCAUUAGCACAAUGUGGCAGCAAUAUCUUAGCUUCACUUUGCUAUAAAUAGAGGAGGUGGAGAUGAAUUGCCCAUCGUUAUGUAAAGUCGGUGGCUGAUUUUGAAAUUCUGAUCUCUGAGACCUACUAAAAUUAACUCAAGCUGACACUUGGUUAUGUAAGCCUUAGUUCUCUUGACCGUAGGUGCUUUUAAUUGGUAGCAAACACAUUUGUAAGGAAUCUACACCGCAGUGCUAGCAUGGUAUAGAAAAAUAUGUAGAAAGAGAAAAGGGUAGAGGCCAAAGGAGGCUGGGAUUGAUUGGAAACUGUGUGUUGCCCCGUCUCCUCCCUGGAAGUAGUAUUAAUGAAGGCAGUUAUUUUAGCUGGCUAGGAAGCAGAGAGAAAAUCUAAUAUGUUAAGGACUAUUUCUUCUUUAGUCCUAGGAGGCAAAAAAGACAAAGUGACUUCAUAAAAUCCCACAACUGCAGUCAGAAAAACAGGUUUCAACAUUGGCUUCUUUUGGCUUGAUCUUUGGUAUUGAUUCCUGUAGCACACUUACAGUACAACAGGCCCGUUAUCCGUCUGAUGCGAAUGUGCUCAAAAUGGGGAAUAGUUUUAUGAGUGUGGAUCAGUUAGUCUUGUAGUGUAAUACUGAAGCUUUUCUGGUGAGAUCCAAGGGGAAAUCUGGCAGCGCCUACGGGAGACCAAGAUGAAACCGUAAGAGCCGCUGACUUUUCUCUGACAUGAAGCGAGAAGAUUAUGACAGAAUGUUUUAUGUGGGGAUGAACUGUUCUCUGCAACACAAGCUCCUCUUAUACAGACAUACAGUCAAAGACGACAUACAGAGUCUGGAACCGUUUAACACCCACUGACAGGCUGGUAUUACUAGAAAAUGCUAUCAGUUCAUGAACCGGCACUUAAACAACUCUCUAAGCACUGUUAUUAGACAAAGCACAUCUAUGGCACACAUUUUUCUGUACCCAUCCAGUGAGUAUUUAUCUGAUGGAAAAAAAAAAAAAAAACAUUAAGAAGAUGUUUCAUCAGCAUACGCUAAGAUGUACGCCUUUGUUACAAGAUUCGUCUCACAUCCUGCUACUCUCAGCAAGGAUUUGAAAGGCGUCAUACAGAAGCUGAAAUGAUAAGAUAAGUCAGCAACGUAUCCAAGUCACCAAUGACAAAAAGUUUAAUGGGUUGCAGAGAACUUUACAAGCUUUCAAGACUGAUACUUAUCCACAUUUGCCAUUGGGGCCAAGUGCGCCAAUGGCAUAACCUUCAACCGGUGAAACCUUCAACCCAGUUUAGAGUUGAAAGUCACGACAAACCUAAAGUUAUAACCUGAGCGACAGUAAGUCUUGAUUCUAGCAUGCAUUGUCUUGACUGUCAAAAGAAUGACUUUAGAGUAAACAAACAUGGCAGACUAUGAAAGCUAUCUGCUCAGCUAUCUGGUACAUCCAUUUUCAUGCCUCUCCCUGUCAUUUGGUAUUGGUAUGAUUAACCUAACACAUGUGAACACUUGUGCUGCUGCAGUGUAUCAACGCUUGGGUUUGUUUAUUCUGACAUCCUUCUAAGUUUAUGUUUCGUGUUUACUAUGGCUGCCAUGACUACAGUUGUUGUGUUUCCGUCUUCGGUCAGGUUGCUUUCCCAUUGGCUAUCAUUUUGUUCCAUGUUUCUGAUGUAAAAUAUUAAACUACAGACUGUAUAAUCACUGGAAAUGGGAUCGUUGAUGAAAUCUAUUUGUUUUGAAACCAAUUGGCAGCCAUCCCUAUAUUGGUAAUGCCGACUAAACCAAACUUAUAGGCAACCUACUAGAGGCGGGGCUUCAGCCUCCUGCAAUUCUUAUUUCCAAGACCUACUUGAAUUAAUUCAACAUGACACAUAACUAAACAUGUGUGCAUUUGCUCUGUUUACAUGGUUCCCAGUGCCUCAAGCAGACACUCAUGGAUCUACAGUUUUUAUCUCUUUCACAUCGGCUUCAUUUCAACAUGUUUAAUAUUUUUGUUUUCAGCACAUGGUUGCUCUGAUAAUUUCUCAUGGGGAUCAGGGGGGAAAAAUCACUCUGAACACACCUCACACCACAGGAUAAUCUGGAACCAUCAGAUAAUCAGAACCUAAUCGCUGAUUGGUCCAUGAGGGACAAUCGUGCCCAAGUCAGCGCAAAUAAUCGCAUAACUAAAAAUACAAAUACAAAUACAAGGGUGGUACUUUUUGUUGAUUGAUGAAAUGGCAUCCGGUUAAUAGAGGGUACGCCUUGAUUGAACACACUCAGACAGUGAGCUAGUUUUAAGGUUUUCUUUUUUCUGCCGUGUUUGAAUUAAUAAAAGAACUCUCUCUCCAACUCCAGUAUGUGUCAGGCAGGAACACAGCGCUGUCCCUCAUCCUGCAGGUACUGAACAUCCUUAGGUUUUAUGCAAAUUAGACCACUAGCUCUGAGCUGUCAUUGCCUCUCAGUGCGGUGAAAGCUGGGGGAAUUCUCUCCAGAUAGUCGAUGAUUAUGCUGUUUUACAAUGGCAGUAUCAUGUAGUGUUGACUUUUUAUUUUUUGUUGACAGCUUUUGUUCUCUGUAUUUUUUACCAGGGGUUGUCCUGCUGUUGUAGUCAGAGCUGCACAACUAAAGUGCCGGCAUGUACGCAGUCAUCUUUGUAUUCCUGAUGUCGGGAACAUUUAAAUCAGCUCCUUUGUGGUGUCUUUGCACUGUCAUGCACAGCCCAUAUUGUAUAAUAUCAAUAUUUUUGUAUAAAAAAAUAAAAAUGCUUUGAAUUAUAUCUUUGCUAAAAGAACAUGCUGAACCUUUUCUUCUGAGGGGACAUUUCAUUUUAAUAAUUAUUCACAUCCUCCUCGAACAAACAUUGACCAAAAUUAUUGGAUAACAGUAUGAUUUUCUGACACAUCAGUUUCAUAACCAUAGUGGUAUUGCUCACCAGGUAGAUGAUACAUGGUGGUUAGGCUACAAAGACAUCAGAGAUUGCCUUUGGAAUGAAUCACAAGUCUUACAGAGUACUGGUAAAACCCAUUAAGAAUAACAUUUUGAUUUUUCAUCCAACACACAUUUACUGUAUAUUAAUGAUGUGUCUGGGUAUUAAAAUGCUCUUAAACAUAAUACAAACUUCUUUCUAGGUGGUACAACUUAAAAUGACUAUUUUAGGAUUCAUUUUGUUAGUGGAUUUUUACACUUUUUCUGGUGUAUCGGACAUUAAAUUUCAUAUUUGUGAGAUAAAGAGUGUUGGAACUGCACACAAACACUCAUAUGCUACGACAAUAACUUUAAAGUGACUAAACCAUCAGAAAAACACACCGCAAGAGUGGAUAUGGUAUUUGGAAAUAAAAGUGUUAUUAAUGGAUUUGAUAAGAAACACUCUGCUUUCAGUUAAUUUUGCUGUUUCCUGACGGAGACUCGUCUCCACCUGAUUAUGAGCGACUGAUUCUUGCUGUUCUCAUAAAUAACACUCUGCUCUCCUGGAGGACGUCCAAACCGACUUCAUAUCAGCAACAG